RNAcentral lists this long non-coding RNA (721 nucleotides) under Heterocephalus glaber (naked mole-rat). Its description in RNAcentral is "lncRNA (ENSHGLG00000040432.1)". Lineage: Eukaryota; Metazoa; Chordata; Mammalia; Rodentia; Bathyergidae. The record is from RNAcentral.
GUAAGGGAUCCUGGACAGGUCAUAAUCCGGUUGAUUAUUAUCCUGGGACUGAUCACAUAGAAUCUUGUUGCUGCCAAGGAAACUGCCACUGCUGAGGGGCCAAUUUGAUUUCUGUGACAAGAUGCUUAUCCAUUGUUACACCCAAUGAGAAAGAACCAACCAGAGACUGAUAUUAAAUCCACACAGGAAUUUAUUACUGGCCGGACCCCAGCCGAGCAUCGGACUCCAGCCCCCAGUCGGGGCUCGAUUAACAUAUUUUAUACACCUUUGAGGCCAACGGUUUCUAGGCCCCCCUAUGGGAUAGAACUAGCAAAGCAAGCAAAAGGAACAAUUCCACCUACCUCAAUAAUGACUGUGUAGUUUGACCAAAUAACAGAUGAAAAUUCUUGGCAUACAGUGGACAUUCAGCAAAUUACAUCUGUAUGGCCACUUCCAUGAGAUCCAGUCACAACGACUCCCAGGUCAGGGAGUGGGAGACGGGUAAGGAAGACCCUUCCACCAACGGCCAUCCAAGUGCCAAAGAGAACAGUGAGCCAGCAUGGAACGAUGCAAUGAGAUAAAAAUGCAUAAGAAAGACGCUUGGAAGGACUUCCAGGGCCCAGAGAGUGCAUGGCCGUGGGGCACUGAAAGAGGACAAGAGCGACUAGAGAUCCCCAAAGCCUAACAGCUGGUGCCCCGGAAACCCUCAAGGGGAAGGGUGGAAGGGGGUCUGUUGCCAAGC